RNAcentral lists this ribosomal RNA (460 nucleotides) under uncultured bacterium. RNAcentral's name for it is "partial 16S ribosomal RNA". It matches the Rfam family "Bacterial small subunit ribosomal RNA", at positions 338 to 795 of the family's 1533-position model. The record is from RNAcentral.
CCUACGGGUGGCAGCAGUGAGGAAUAUUGGUCAAUGGGCGCGAGCCUGAACCAGCCAAGUAGCGUGAAGGAUGACUGCCCUACGGGUUGUAAACUUCUUUUAUAAAGGAAUAAAGUGAGGCACGUGUGCCUUUUUGUAUGUACUUUAUGAAUAAGGAUCGGCUAACUCCGUGCCAGCAGCCGCGGUAAUACGGAGGAUCCGAGCGUUAUCCGGAUUUAUUGGGUUUAAAGGGAGCGUAGAUGGGUUGUUAAGUCAGUUGUGAAAGUUUGCGGCUCAACCGUAAAAGAGCAAUUGAUACUGGCAGUCUUGAGUACAGUUGAGGUAGGCGGAAUGCGUGGUGUAGCGGUGAAAUGCUUAGAUAUCACGAAGAACUCCGAUUGCGAAGGCAGCUUGCUAAGCUGCCACUGACAUUGAGGCACGAAAGUGUGGGGAUCAAACAGGAUUAGAUACCCUUGUAGUC